This is a long non-coding RNA of Lontra canadensis (Northern American river otter), 985 nucleotides long. RefSeq lists it as uncharacterized. The transcript is spliced from 4 exons. NCBI's taxonomy places the organism in Eukaryota, Metazoa, Chordata, Mammalia, Carnivora, Mustelidae. The record is from RefSeq and is a predicted model, not a curated record.
GGGACCGCCAGAGGGGCAUCUGGUGGGUCUCCUCACCACCGCAGCUGGCUGGUUCUGUCCCCGAUGCCUACCUCCUGGUUCUCGUCUGGCCACUUCGCCUCCUUGUACCUGCAGAGAGCUGGAGCAACCCCGCAGCUGUUCCUGCCUCACGGGGCAGACCAGUCUCCAGAGGGGAUCCUCACCCCAGCGCCCUCUGGUGGCGCCCGUGCCAGGACGGGGCUGGGCCGGACUCCAGGGGUCUGUUCGGAAGGGGAGAGCGGCGAAGCUAAGCCCAGUGACCCCAGAGCACCUCCCGUAAAUCAGUCCUCGGGAAGUCAGCUGUCUGCGAUCUCAGGGGAGGGACACUGGCGGGGAAGGGUGCCCGCAGGCAGGAGCCGCAGCUGGAUCCCUGGCGUGCUACGGGUCCCGGGGAAUGUGGUGUCUCUGGACCCGCUCCCCUCUCCCUGAAACGAGGGGGCGGGAGGAGCUGAUCUCUGAGGUCCCUUCCAGCUCCAGCACCUUCUGUUCUAGGAAAUCCACGUGAACGUUGCUAUAGAGACAGCAGAGACGAGCCGCAGCAGCUCGGAAUUGGACCUCCACCCAUAAGAGAGAGGAAAGAGUCACCCCAGGAAACAGCUGACGUCAGGGCUGUGUUCGCCCCCUCCCCCACGCCAGGUGCCUAGGGGCCACGCUGAGUGUCCUGCUCCCGCGAGGACACAACCCACACCCCACCUGCCGUGGGCUCACCUUUGUGGCCCUGAGGCCCUCCUGGGCAAGUGGUAAGGGGUGGGCGUCGGCCCCGCCUCCGUGGGACAGGGACUGUUGGGUGCCGGCUGGGCAGUGGGCUGUUUCCUUGGCGGUGUGCCCGCAGGAUCUGCCCUCGGGCUUUCCUUCCCACUGCAGCUCGGGGACUCACACCUGAGCGCUCUGGGUGGUGUCAGGAUGCAAAACGUGCGUGCCCUGGAGCCCAGCGGGGGGUGGAGGGGGGCAGGGAGCUGCUCGGAUC